This 535-nucleotide small RNA is filed under the name Pongo abelii (Sumatran orangutan). Its description in RNAcentral is "retained intron". Lineage: Eukaryota; Metazoa; Chordata; Mammalia; Primates; Hominidae. The record is from RNAcentral.
AAUUGUGAGGCGGGGUCUGGAUGGAAAGGCGGGGCCCGCUGAAAGAAGGCGACCCGAGUUCUACUUCCUAGUAAGGGACGUCUCUGGAGAGAUCCUGAGGUUUUUGAGCCUCUUUUGCCUACACACCGGCAGGUAAGCCAUCUCUGCCCCAGUGGGGUUCAGACCCCCCAGGACGGGCCCUUCUCUUACUCAUUCGCCCCCUCAUUUUCCCCAGUGUCCUUCCCGCACUCAGAGGGCCUCUCUGGAGCCAGUUCCAGGCCACCCAUGGGCCUUGGCCCCGCCCCCUACCCAUGGCUGGCAGAUUCGUGGCCCCACCCAUCUCGAAGCCCCUCGGCCCAGGAACCCAGGGGAAGCUGCUGCCCUAGCAAUCCUGACCCGGACGACAGAUAUUACAAUGGUGAGGAGUUCUCAUUCCCUCACCUGGCUUCAGCGCACUUCUCCCGACCUACUGGGGCAAACUGAAGGGCGCCCGGGAGCCCGGUCUCUCUGAGGUUGGUCAGUCCCUGGGGAGGAUGUGAGCUGGGGAAGCCUCUCU